This is a non-coding RNA of Pelobates cultripes (western spadefoot toad), 250 nucleotides long. NCBI's taxonomy places the organism in Eukaryota, Metazoa, Chordata, Amphibia, Anura, Pelobatidae. The record is from the annotation of a GenBank genome assembly.
AUUGUGGGAAAGUGAGCCCUUACACACAACACCCCAUGGACCCACACUCUACAGGCCCUAUAAACACGCACACACAUACUUUACAGCGCAGAAACACAUUAACACACUACAGCCCCAAGCUACACACAGUACAACACAGUUUCCUCUACACACAGGCAAUCCCACAAAACAAUGCACAUACUACACCAUAGGGAGCAUCCCCACAAAUGCACAACACAUCUUUAACAACUCUAUUCCACUUUUGUUCUCU